Molecule: ribosomal RNA, 467 nt
Filed under: uncultured bacterium
Lineage: Bacteria
Description: partial 16S ribosomal RNA
Rfam family: Bacterial small subunit ribosomal RNA
Source: RNAcentral
ACGAACGCUGGCGGCGGGCUUAACACAUGCAAGUCGAACGGAAAGGCCCUGCUUUUGUGGGGUGCUCGAGUGGCGAACGGGUGAGUAACACGUGAGUAACCUGCCCUUGACUUUGGGAUAACUUCAAGAAACUGGGGCUCAUACCGGAUAGGAGCUCCUGCUGCAUGGUGGGGGUUGGAAAGUUUCGGCGGUUGGGGAUGGACUCGCGGCUUAUCAGCCUGUUGGUGGGGGAUUGGGUUACCAAGGCUUUGACGGGUAGCCGGCCUGAGAGCGUGACCGGCCACAUUGGGACUAAGAUACCGCACGGCCUGCUACGGGCGGCAGCAGUGGGGAAUAUUGCACAAUGGGCCGAAGCCUGAUGCAGCAACGCCGCGUGCGUGAUGACGGUCUUCGGGUUGUAAGCCGCUUUCGCCUGUAACGUAGCCUGCGUGCCGGUAAUGGGUAACGAAGCACCGGCUAACUACGUG